GAAGAAAUGGUUAACUGUGACGAAUGUGGCGUCUGGGUGCACACACGGUGUUCGCGUUAUGUGAAGGGAGAUGAUAUUUUUGUUUGCGACAAAUGUAAGGGGAAGAACGAGAGGAAUGAUUGUGAGGAGACCGAGGUUGCGCAAUUAUUGGUUGAACUUCCUACCAAAACCAUGAGCAUGGAGAGUACAUACGUCUGUAAUGGGCCAUCCCAG
RNAcentral lists this unclassified non-coding RNA (213 nucleotides) under Hevea brasiliensis (rubber tree). Lineage: Eukaryota; Viridiplantae; Streptophyta; Magnoliopsida; Malpighiales; Euphorbiaceae. The record is from RNAcentral.